Molecule: ribosomal RNA, 550 nt
Filed under: uncultured bacterium
Lineage: Bacteria
Description: bacterial SSU rRNA
Rfam family: Bacterial small subunit ribosomal RNA
Source: RNAcentral
AGUGGAGCAAUCCAUGAGUAAAGUGGCGUACGGGUGAGUAACACGUGACUAACCUACCCUCGAGUGGGGAAUAACCUCGGGAAACCGGGGCUAAUACCGCAUAACAUCGAUAGGUGCAAUUCCUUUCGAUCAAAGUAGUAAUGCGCUUGAGGAGGGGGUCGCGGCUGAUUAGCUAGUUGGCGGGGUAACGGCCCACCAAGGCAAUGAUCAGUAUCCGGCCUGAGAGGGCGCACGGACACACUGGGACUGAAACACGGCCCAGACUCCUACGGGAGGCAGCAGUGGGGAAUUUUGCACAAUGGGGGAAACCCUGAUGCAGCAACGCCGCGUGGAGGAUGAAGCCCUUUGGGGCGUAAACUCCUUUCGAUCGGGACGAUAAUGACGGUACCGGAAGAAGAAGCACCGGCUAACUCUGUGCCAGCAGCCGCGGUAAUACAGAGGGUGCGAGCGUUGUUCGGAAUUAUUGGGCGUAAAGGGCGCGUAGGCGGUGCGGUAAGUCUGCGGUGAAAUCUCCCGGCUCAACUGGGAGGCUGCCGUGGAAACUGCCGUG